Trichodelitschia bisporula is the source of this 109-nucleotide non-coding RNA. The record is from the annotation of a GenBank genome assembly. NCBI's taxonomy places the organism in Eukaryota, Fungi, Ascomycota, Dothideomycetes, Phaeotrichales, Phaeotrichaceae.
GGCAACGUGGCGGAGUGGUUAACGCGCUGCCCUGCUAUAUCCGAUCCCUUCCCGUUCGGCUUGUAAGGCAGUUCCUUCGGGAGCGUAGGUUCGAAUCCUGCCGUUGUCG